RNAcentral lists this ribosomal RNA (409 nucleotides) under bacterium. RNAcentral's name for it is "partial 16S ribosomal RNA". It matches the Rfam family "Bacterial small subunit ribosomal RNA", at positions 355 to 776 of the family's 1533-position model. The record is from RNAcentral.
UGGGGAAUAUUGCACAAUGGGCGAAAGCCUGAUGCAGCGACGCCGCGUGAGGGAUGACGGCCUUCGGGUUGUAAACCUCUUUCAGCAGGGACGAAGCGCAAGUGACGGUACCUGCAGAAGAAGCACCGGCUAACUACGUGCCAGCAGCCGCGGUAAUACGUAGGGUGCAAGCGUUGUCCGGAAUUAUUGGGCGUAAAGAGUUCGUAGGCGGUUUGUCGCGUCGUUUGUGAAAACCAGCAGCUCAACUGCUGGCUUGCAGGCGAUACGGGCAGACUUGAGUACUGCAGGGGAGACUGGAAUUCCUGGUGUAGCGGUGAAAUGCGCAGAUAUCAGGAGGAACACCGGUGGCGAAGGCGGGUCUCUGGGCAGUAACUGACGCUGAGGAACGAAAGCGUGGGUAGCGAACAGG